Long non-coding RNA from Notothenia coriiceps (black rockcod), 344 nucleotides. RefSeq lists it as uncharacterized. NCBI's taxonomy places the organism in Eukaryota, Metazoa, Chordata, Actinopteri, Perciformes, Nototheniidae. The transcript has 3 exons. The record is from RefSeq and is a predicted model, not a curated record.
CCGCGGUGAACUCAGAGCUGAGUGACGAGCGUUUCCGUGGCGACGCGGUGGGUCAGGCUCUCGACGUGGAGCGGGCCGAGAGAGUCCGACUCAGCAGAGAAAAUAAAGAUCUGCAGGCUCGGUGUGAGCAGUGCAAAGUGAGCAUGGAGGCUGUGGAGAAGCAGCUGCAGGAGGAGAAGCAGAACGUCCUGAUCGCUGAGAGCCAGAGAGGAAUCAGGACAGAGGGCGAGCUGUCGAUGCAGCUGGAGGUCAGCCAGACGGAGGUGGAGUUUCUGAGAAGAAGACUGAAGCAGACGGAGGAGAAGCUGGAGACGGAGAAACAGAGCAGACAGCAGCUCGACUCC